Molecule: ribosomal RNA, 443 nt
Filed under: uncultured bacterium
Lineage: Bacteria
Description: partial 16S ribosomal RNA
Rfam family: Bacterial small subunit ribosomal RNA
Source: RNAcentral
CCUACGGGUGGCAGCAGUGGGGAAUAUUGGGCAAUGGGCGCAAGCCUGACCCAGCAACGCCGCGUGAAGGAAGAAGGCUUUCGGGUUGUAAACUACUUUUGUCAGGGACGAAGCAAGUGACGGUACCUGACGAAUAAGCCACGGCUAACUACGUGCCAGCAGCCGCGGUAAUACGUAGGUGGCAAGCGUUAUCCGGAUUUACUGGGUGGAAAGGGCGUGUAGGCGGGACUGCAAGUCAGAUGUGAAAACCACGGGCUCAACCUGUGGCCUGCAUUUGAAACUGGAGGUCUUGAGUACUGGAGAGGCAGACGGAAUUCCUGGUGUAGCGGUGAAAUGCGUAGAUAUUAGGAGGAACACCAGUGGCGAAGGCGGUCUGCUGGACGGCAACUGACGCUGAGGCGCGAAAGCGUGGGGAGCAAACAGGAUUAGAUACCCCAGUAGUC